This 484-nucleotide ribosomal RNA is filed under the name uncultured bacterium. Its description in RNAcentral is "partial 16S ribosomal RNA". It matches the Rfam family "Bacterial small subunit ribosomal RNA", at positions 30 to 507 of the family's 1533-position model. The record is from RNAcentral.
AUUGAACGCUGGCGGCAGGCCUAACACAUGCAAGUCGAGCGGAUGAAGGGAGCUUGCUCCUGGAUUCAGCGGCGGACGGGUGAGUAAUGCCUAGGAAUCUGCCUGGUAGUGGGGGAUAACGUCCGGAAACGGGCGCUAAUACCGCAUACGUCCUGAGGGGGAAAGUGGGGGAUCUUCGGACCUCACGCUAUCAGAUGAGCCUAGGUCGGAUUAGCUAGUCGGUGGGGUAAAGGCCUACCAAGGCGACGAUCCGUAACUGGUCUGAGAGGAUGAUCAGUCACACUGGAACUGAGACACGGUCCAGACUCCUACGGGAGGCAGCAGUGGGGAAUAUUGGACAAUGGGCGAAAGCCUGAUCCAGCCAUGCCGCGUGUGUGAAGAAGGUCUUCGGAUUGUAAAGCACUUUAAGUUGGGAGGAAGGGCAGUAAGUUAAUACCUUGCUGUUUUGACGUUACCAACAGAAUAAGCACCGGCUAACUUCGUG